GACGAACGCUGGCGGCGUGCUUAACACAUGCAAGUCGAACGGAAAGGCCCUGCUUGUGUGGGGUGCUCGAGUGGCGAACGGGUGUGUAACAUGUGAGUAUCCUGGCCUGUGCUGUGUGAUAACUUCAGACAACUGGUGCUACUACCGGAUAGGAGCUCCUGCUGCAUGGUGGGGGUUGGAAAGUUUCGUCUGUUGGGGAUGGACUCGGGGCUUAUCAGCUUGUUGGUGGGGGAGCGGCAUACCAAGGCUUUGACGGGUAGCCGGCAUGAGAGGGUGACCGGGCACAUGGGGACUGAGGUAGGGCGCAGAGUCCAACGGGAGGCAGCAGGGGGGAGUAUGGCACAAUGGGCGGAAGCCUGAUGCGACAACGCCGCGAGCGGGAUGACGGCCUAGGGGUUGUAAACCGCUUUAGGUUGUGACGAAGCGGGAGUGACGGUAAUGGGUAAAGAAGCACCGGCUAACUACGUG
This 468-nucleotide ribosomal RNA is filed under the name uncultured bacterium. Its description in RNAcentral is "partial 16S ribosomal RNA". It matches the Rfam family "Bacterial small subunit ribosomal RNA", at positions 28 to 507 of the family's 1533-position model. The record is from RNAcentral.